Molecule: ribosomal RNA, 1915 nt
Filed under: Escherichia coli
Lineage: Bacteria; Pseudomonadati; Pseudomonadota; Gammaproteobacteria; Enterobacterales; Enterobacteriaceae
Description: partial 23S ribosomal RNA
Rfam family: Bacterial large subunit ribosomal RNA
Source: RNAcentral
UGUGUGUUAGUGGAAGCGUCUGGAAAGGCGCGCGAUACAGGGUGACAGCCCCGUACACAAAAAUGCACAUGCUGUGAGCUCGAUGAGUAGGGCGGGACACGUGGUAUCCUGUCUGAAUAUGGGGGGACCAUCCUCCAAGGCUAAAUACUCCUGACUGACCGAUAGUGAACCAGUACCGUGAGGGAAAGGCGAAAAGAACCCCGGCGAGGGGAGUGAAAAAGAACCUGAAACCGUGUACGUACAAGCAGUGGGAGCACGCUUAGGCGUGUGACUGCGUACCUUUUGUAUAAUGGGUCAGCGACUUAUAUUCUGUAGCAAGGUUAACCGAAUAGGGGAGCCGAAGGGAAACCGAGUCUUAACUGGGCGUUAAGUUGCAGGGUAUAGACCCGAAACCCGGUGAUCUAGCCAUGGGCAGGUUGAAGGUUGGGUAACACUAACUGGAGGACCGAACCGACUAAUGUUGAAAAAUUAGCGGAUGACUUGUGGCUGGGGGUGAAAGGCCAAUCAAACCGGGAGAUAGCUGGUUCUCCCCGAAAGCUAUUUAGGUAGCGCCUCGUGAAUUCAUCUCCGGGGGUAGAGCACUGUUUCGGCAAGGGGGUCAUCCCGACUUACCAACCCGAUGCAAACUGCGAAUACCGGAGAAUGUUAUCACGGGAGACACACGGCGGGUGCUAACGUCCGUCGUGAAGAGGGAAACAACCCAGACCGCCAGCUAAGGUCCCAAAGUCAUGGUUAAGUGGGAAACGAUGUGGGAAGGCCCAGACAGCCAGGAUGUUGGCUUAGAAGCAGCCAUCAUUUAAAGAAAGCGUAAUAGCUCACUGGUCGAGUCGGCCUGCGCGGAAGAUGUAACGGGGCUAAACCAUGCACCGAAGCUGCGGCAGCGACGCUUAUGCGUUGUUGGGUAGGGGAGCGUUCUGUAAGCCUGCGAAGGUGUGCUGUGAGGCACGCUGGAGGUAUCAGAAGUGCGAAUGCUGACAUAAGUAACGAUAAAGCGGGUGAAAAGCCCGCUCGCCGGAAGACCAAGGGUUCCUGUCCAACGUUAAUCGGGGCAGGGUGAGUCGACCCCUAAGGCGAGGCCGAAAGGCGUAGUCGAUGGGAAACAGGUUAAUAUUCCUGUACUUGGUGUUACUGCGAAGGGGGGACGGAGAAGGCUAUGUUGGCCGGGCGACGGUUGUCCCGGUUUAAGCGUGUAGGCUGGUUUUCCAGGCAAAUCCGGAAAAUCAAGGCUGAGGCGUGAUGACGAGGCACUACGGUGCUGAAGCAACAAAUGCCCUGCUUCCAGGAAAAGCCUCUAAGCAUCAGGUAACAUCAAAUCGUACCCCAAACCGACACAGGUGGUCAGGUAGAGAAUACCAAGGCGCUUGAGAGAACUCGGGUGAAGGAACUAGGCAAAAUGGUGCCGUAACUUCGGGAGAAGGCACGCUGAUAUGUAGGUGAAGUCCCUCGCGGAUGGAGCUGAAAUCAGUCGAAGAUACCAGCUGGCUGCAACUGUUUAUUAAAAACACAGCACUGUGCAAACACGAAAGUGGACGUAUACGGUGUGACGCCUGCCCGGUGCCGGAAGGUUAAUUGAUGGGGUUAGCGCAAGCGAAGCUCUUGAUCGAAGCCCCGGUAAACGGCGGCCGUAACUAUAACGGUCCUAAGGUAGCGAAAUUCCUUGUCGGGUAAGUUCCGACCUGCACGAAUGGCGUAAUGAUGGCCAGGCUGUCUCCACCCGAGACUCAGUGAAAUUGAACUCGCUGUGAAGAUGCAGUGUACCCGCGGCAAGACGGAAAGACCCCGUGAACCUUUACUAUAGCUUGACACUGAACAUUGAGCCUUGAUGUGUAGGAUAGGUGGGAGGCUUUGAAGUGUGGACGCCAGUCUGCAUGGAGCCGACCUUGAAAUACCACCCUUUAAUGUUUGAUGUUCUAAC